UUGUCAUGCCAAUGGCACUGCCCGGUAGCUAAAUGCGGAAGAGAUAAGUGCUGAAAGCAUCUAAGCACGAAACUUGCCCCGAGAUGAGUUCUCCCUGACUCCYUGAGAGUCCUGAAGGAACGUUGAAGACGACGACGUUGAUAGGCCGGGUGUGUAAGCGCAGCGAUGCGUUGAGCUAACCGGUACUAAUGAACCGUGAGGCUUAACCUUACAACGCCGAAGRUGUU
Molecule: ribosomal RNA, 227 nt
Filed under: Escherichia coli
Lineage: Bacteria; Pseudomonadati; Pseudomonadota; Gammaproteobacteria; Enterobacterales; Enterobacteriaceae
Description: partial 23S ribosomal RNA
Rfam family: Bacterial large subunit ribosomal RNA
Source: RNAcentral